CCUGCUUUCAGUUGCUACCGGGUCAUGCCGAGUACUCUGAAAGGACUGCCCAGGAUAACGGGGAGGAAGGUGGGGAUGACGUCAAGUCAGCAUGGCCUUUAUGCCUGGGGCCACACACGUGCUACAAUGGCCGGUACAAAGCGCUGCAAAC
RNAcentral lists this ribosomal RNA (151 nucleotides) under uncultured Nitrospira sp. RNAcentral describes it as "partial 16S ribosomal RNA". It matches the Rfam family "Bacterial small subunit ribosomal RNA", at positions 1104 to 1254 of the family's 1533-position model. Lineage: Bacteria; Pseudomonadati; Nitrospirota; Nitrospiria; Nitrospirales; Nitrospiraceae. The record is from RNAcentral.